UACGUAGGUGCCAAGCGUUGUCCGGAUUUACUGGGCGUAAAGAGCGCGCAGGCGGUCGUUCAAGUCGAGUGUGAAAGCCCCCGGCUCAACUGGGGAGGGUCACUCGAUACUGAUCGACUCGAAGGCAGGAGAGGGUAGUGGAAUUCCCGGUGUAGUGGUGAAAUGCGUAGAUAUCGGGAGGAACACCAGUGGCGAAGGCGACUACCUGGCCUGUUCUUGACGCUGAGGCGCGAAAGCUAGGGGAGCAAACGGG
This 253-nucleotide ribosomal RNA is filed under the name uncultured bacterium. Its description in RNAcentral is "partial 16S ribosomal RNA". It matches the Rfam family "Bacterial small subunit ribosomal RNA", at positions 524 to 776 of the family's 1533-position model. The record is from RNAcentral.